GAGUUUGAUCAUGGCUCAGGAUGAACGCUAGCGGCAGGCUUAAUACAUGCAAGUCGAGGGGCAGCAGCUUUAUAGCAAUAUAGAGGCUGGCGACCGGCAAACGGGUGCGGAACACGUACACAACCUUCCUUGAAUAGGGGGAUAGCCCAUAGAAAUGUGGAUUAAUACCCCGUAAUAUAGCGGUGUGGCAUCACACUGUUAUUAUAGUUUCGGCGAUUCGAGAUGGGUGUGCGGCUGAUUAGGUAGUUGGCGGGGUAAAGGCCCACCAAGCCUUCGAUCAGUAGCUGAUGUGAGAGCAUGAUCAGCYACACGGGCACUGAGACWCGGGCCCGACUCCUACGGGAGGCAGCAGUAWGGAAUAUUGGUCAAUGGAMGCAAGUCUGAACCARCUAUGCYGCGUGAAGGAUGAASGUCCUCU
This 418-nucleotide ribosomal RNA is filed under the name uncultured Bacteroidota bacterium. RNAcentral describes it as "bacterial SSU rRNA". Lineage: Bacteria; Pseudomonadati; Bacteroidota. The record is from RNAcentral.